Molecule: ribosomal RNA, 2924 nt
Filed under: Priestia aryabhattai
Lineage: Bacteria; Bacillati; Bacillota; Bacilli; Caryophanales; Bacillaceae
Description: bacterial LSU rRNA
Rfam family: Bacterial large subunit ribosomal RNA
Source: RNAcentral
GAAAGGGCGCACGGUGAAUGCCUUGGCACUAGGAGCCGAUGAAGGACGGGACUAACACCGAUAUGCUUCGGGGAGCUGUAAGUGAGCUUUGAUCCGGAGAUUUCCGAAUGGGGAAACCCACUGUUCGUAAUGGAACAGUAUCUUUAUCUGAAUACAUAGGAUAUUGAAGGCAGACCCGGGGAACUGAAACAUCUAAGUACCCGGAGGAAGAGAAAGCAAAUGCGAUUUCCUGAGUAGCGGCGAGCGAAACGGAAUUAGCCCAAACCAAGAGGCUUGCCUCUUGGGGUUGUAGGACACUCUAUACGGAGUUACAAAGGAACGAAGUAAAUGAAGCGACCUGGAAAGGUCCGUCGAAGAAGGUAACAACCCUGUAGUUGAAACUUCGUUCCCUCUUGAGUGGAUCCUGAGUACGGCGGAACACGUGAAAUUCCGUCGGAAGCUGGGAGGACCAUCUCCCAAGGCUAAAUACUACCUAGUGACCGAUAGUGAACCAGUACCGUGAGGGAAAGGUGAAAAGCACCCCGGAAGGGGAGUGAAAGAGAUCCUGAAACCGUGUGCCUACAAGUAGUCAGAGCCCGUUAAUGGGUGAUGGCGUGCCUUUUGUAGAAUGAACCGGCGAGUUACGAUCCCAUGCAAGGUUAAGCUGAUAAGGCGGAGCCGUAGCGAAAGCGAGUCUGAAUAGGGCGUUUAGUAUGUGGUUGUAGACCCGAAACCAGGUGAUCUACCCAUGUCCAGGGUGAAGUUCAGGUAACACUGAAUGGAGGCCCGAACCCACGCACGUUGAAAAGUGCGGGGAUGAGGUGUGGGUAGCGGAGAAAUUCCAAUCGAACCUGGAGAUAGCUGGUUCUCUCCGAAAUAGCUUUAGGGCUAGCCUCAUGUUGUGAGAGUCUUGGAGGUAGAGCACUGAUUGGACUAGGGGCCCCCAACGGGUUACCGAAUUCAGUCAAACUCCGAAUGCCAAAGACUUAUCCAUGGGAGUCAGACUGCGAGUGAUAAGAUCCGUAGUCAAAAGGGAAACAGCCCAGACCACCAGCUAAGGUCCCCAAGUAUACGUUAAGUGGAAAAGGAUGUGGAGUUGCUUAGACAACCAGGAUGUUGGCUUAGAAGCAGCCACCAUUUAAAGAGUGCGUAAUAGCUCACUGGUCGAGUGACUCUGCGCCGAAAAUGUACCGGGGCUAAACGUAUCACCGAAGCUGUGGAUUGACAUCUUUGAUGUCAGUGGUAGGAGAGCGUUCUAAGUGCAGCGAAGUCAGACCGUAAGGACUGGUGGAGCGCUUAGAAGUGAGAAUGCCGGUAUGAGUAGCGAAAGACAAGUGAGAAUCUUGUCCACCGAAUGCCUAAGGUUUCCUGAGGAAGGCUCGUCCGCUCAGGGUUAGUCGGGACCUAAGCCGAGGCUGAAAAGCGUAGGCGAUGGCCAACAGGUUGAUAUUCCUGUACCACCUCCCCGCCGUUUGAGUAAUGGGGGGACGCAGUAGGAUAGGGUAAGCGCGCUGCUGGAUAUGCGCGUUCAAGCAGUUAGGCUGAUGAGUAGGCAAAUCCGCUCAUCAUAAAGGCUGAGCUGUGAUGACGAGGGAAUUAUAGUACCGAAGUUCCUGAUUCCACACUGCCAAGAAAAGCCUCUAGCGAGGCGGGAGGUGCCCGUACCGCAAACCGACACAGGUAGGCGAGGAGAGAAUCCUAAGGUGAUCGAGAGAACUCUCGUUAAGGAACUCGGCAAAAUGACCCCGUAACUUCGGGAGAAGGGGUGCUCUGGUAGGGUGUAUAGCCCGAGAGAGCCGCAGUGAAUAGGCCCAGGCGACUGUUUAGCAAAAACACAGGUCUCUGCGAAGCCGCAAGGCGAAGUAUAGGGGCUGACGCCUGCCCGGUGCUGGAAGGUUAAGAGGAGGGGUUAUCCUUUGGGAGAAGCUCUGAAUCGAAGCCCCAGUAAACGGCGGCCGUAACUAUAACGGUCCUAAGGUAGCGAAAUUCCUUGUCGGGUAAGUUCCGACCCGCACGAAAGGCGUAACGAUCUGGGCACUGUCUCAACGAGAGACUCGGUGAAAUUAUAGUACCUGUGAAGAUGCAGGUUACCCGCGACAGGACGGAAAGACCCCGUGGAGCUUUACUGUAGCCUGAUAUUGAAUUUUGGUACAGCUUGUACAGGAUAGGUAGGAGCCUGAGAAGCCGGAGCGCUAGCUUCGGUGGAGGCGUCGGUGGGAUACUACCCUGGCUGUAUUGAAAUUCUAACCCGCGGCCCUGAUCGGGCCGGGAGACAGUGUCAGGUGGGCAGUUUGACUGGGGCGGUCGCCUCCUAAAAUGUAACGGAGGCGCCCAAAGGUUCCCUCAGAAUGGUUGGAAAUCAUUCGUAGAGUGUAAAGGCACAAGGGAGCUUGACUGCGAGACCUACAAGUCGAGCAGGGACGAAAGUCGGGCUUAGUGAUCCGGUGGUUCCGCAUGGAAGGGCCAUCGCUCAACGGAUAAAAGCUACCCCGGGGAUAACAGGCUUAUCUCCCCCAAGAGUCCACAUCGACGGGGAGGUUUGGCACCUCGAUGUCGGCUCAUCGCAUCCUGGGGCUGUAGUCGGUCCCAAGGGUUGGGCUGUUCGCCCAUUAAAGCGGUACGCGAGCUGGGUUCAGAACGUCGUGAGACAGUUCGGUCCCUAUCCGUCGUGGGCGUAGGAAAUUUGAGAGGAGCUGUCCUUAGUACGAGAGGACCGGGAUGGACACACCGCUGGUGUACCAGUUGUCUUGCCAAAGGCAUCGCUGGGUAGCUAUGUGUGGACGGGAUAAGUGCUGAAAGCAUCUAAGCAUGAAGCCCCCCUCAAGAUGAGAUUUCCCAUAGCGCAAGCUAGUAAGAUCCCUGAAAGAUGAUCAGGUUGAUAGGUCAGAGGUGGAAGCGUGGCGACAUGUGUAGCUGACUGAUACUAAUCGAUCGAGGACUUAACC